RNAcentral lists this ribosomal RNA (437 nucleotides) under uncultured Oscillospiraceae bacterium. RNAcentral's name for it is "bacterial SSU rRNA". It matches the Rfam family "Bacterial small subunit ribosomal RNA", at positions 341 to 792 of the family's 1533-position model. Lineage: Bacteria; Bacillati; Bacillota; Clostridia; Eubacteriales; Oscillospiraceae. The record is from RNAcentral.
ACGGGAGGCAGCAGUGGGGAAUCUUGGGCAAUGGGGGCAACCCUGACCCAGCAACGCCGCGUGAAGGAAGAAGACUUUCGGGUUGUAAACUUCUUUUACCAGGGACGAAGAAAGUGACGGUACCUGGAGAAAAAGCCACGGCUAACUACGUGCCAGCAGCCGCGGUAAUACGUAGGUGGCAAGCGUUGUACGGAUUUACUGGGUGUAAAGGGCGUGUAGGCGGAGCAGCAAGUCAGAAGUGAAAUUUAGGGGCUCAACCCCUAAACUGUUUUUGAAACUGUUGCCCUUGAGUAUCGGAGAGGCAGGCGGAAUGCCUAGUGUAGCGGUGAAAUGCGUAGAUAUUAGGAGGAACACCAGUGGCGAAGGCGGCCUGCUGGACGACAACUGACGCUGAGGCGUGAAAGCGUGGGGAGCAAACAGGAUUAGAUAACAUGGUA